This 252-nucleotide ribosomal RNA is filed under the name uncultured bacterium. Its description in RNAcentral is "partial 16S ribosomal RNA". It matches the Rfam family "Bacterial small subunit ribosomal RNA", at positions 524 to 776 of the family's 1533-position model. The record is from RNAcentral.
UACGAAGGGGGCUAGCGUUGUUCGGAUUUACUGGGCGUAAAGCGCACGUAGGCGGAUCUUUAAGUCAGAGGUGAAAUCCCAAGGCUCAACCUUGGAACUGCCUUUGAUACUGGGGAUCUUGAGUCCGGGAGAGGUGAGUGGAACUGCGAGUGUAGAGGUGAAAUUCGUAGAUAUUCGCAAGAACACCAGUGGCGAAGGCGGCUCACUGGCCCGGUACUGACGCUGAGGUGCGAAAGCGUGGGAGCAAACAGG